AUGGCGGAGCUCAACUCAGCUCAACCGCAACUGGUUGACCCCGAGAAUAAACCAUGUAUAAAUGCCCAGCCGCAGCUGCAGUGGUAUUCCCCAAUACUGAUGGAGGCCGUAGACGCCGUAUCCAAAGUCCUCGACGAUGACAACCUCCUCAUCGAGAUCCUCCUCUGCGUUGAUCUCCCCACGACCUUGGUCUGUGCUGCUCUUGUCUGCAAGCGCUGGCUACAGCAUGCCUCCGACCGCGAGUUCCUCUGUCAUUUCCGCAAGCUCCACCCGCCCCGCCUCAUUGGUUUCUACAUUCAGGAGGGGCUGAUGCCAACCAGUCCACGCUUCGUCCUGAUGCUGCCAGCUCAGCACCGGGAACGUGCCGCCGUCGUCCGCCGUGCAAAGUUCAGCUUGGAAAGUAACGACGACAGCAAUUUAAGGACACACAUAAUGGACUGCCGGAAUGGCAGAGUCCUUACCCAGCGCCUCGAUGGAACCACAAGGGGACUUAAGGUGCACGUCCCAUUGUGCCCUCAGAUAGGCAUGAAGAACAUCCCACCACUCCCAAUCCACGAACCGCAUCACGACUAUCACUGCGGUUUCAGUCAAAUCCUCUCCAAUGAAGGAGUCAACGGCUUGUCCUACUUCCAUGUGUCCAUGGCGUCUUCAUACUAUGGAAAGUCAAGGGUGAGCGUUUAUAUGCUGAAAGAUGGUGUGUGGUGUAUGCAUACCUCGGUUGCGGCAAAUCUUCCUCCUCCACGUAUGAGAAUAAACUCUGUUCUCGUCGGCAGUAAAAUCUAUAUGGCAGCUGCCAUGAGUGACAUUAUCAUCUUGGAUUUGAAGACCUCAAGCUUCUCGGUAAUUCAGCUCCCACAAGGAGUGGACUACGGACAGGAGUAUGGUUCGUCGGACACUAUGUUGUCACGGGCAGAUGAUUAUUCUAGUGUUUAUCUCAUCAAUGCUAAGGGGCUGCAACUUCGCAUUUGGCUCCACAAGGGGGGCACCUGGUUGCUGGUGGAUACAAUCCUUAUGCUUGACAUGUUUGCUAAUUUGAGGAUGUCAGGUUUCAGUGUUGAGGACUAUCGUAGUUUUCUUCGUCUAAGACAGGUGGGGGACAAUGCAGAGUUUGUGUUCUUGCAGAUGCGUCAAUGCAUAUUCUACCUGGAUAUCAAGUGCCGAACACUAUGUGAAGUGCAUGACAUAACAAAAUAUGAUGGAUCUUCUUGUCAUAUCAAUCCUCUUAUGAUGAUCUGGCCUCCCACAUUCCCUGCGAACAAGGAUAAUCCAGCAAGAAAUGCCAUGUGA
This 1287-nucleotide ribosomal RNA is filed under the name Triticum aestivum (bread wheat). RNAcentral's name for it is "partial small subunit ribosomal RNA". The record is from RNAcentral. Lineage: Eukaryota; Viridiplantae; Streptophyta; Magnoliopsida; Poales; Poaceae.